This 369-nucleotide RNase P RNA is filed under the name Nanobdellota archaeon. RNAcentral describes it as "RNase P RNA component". It matches the Rfam family "Archaeal RNase P". Rfam says of the family: Ribonuclease P (RNase P) is a ubiquitous endoribonuclease, found in archaea, bacteria and eukarya as well as chloroplasts and mitochondria. Its best characterised activity is the generation of mature 5'-ends of tRNAs by cleaving the 5'-leader elements of precursor-tRNAs. Lineage: Archaea; Nanobdellati; Nanobdellota. The record is from RNAcentral.
GGUAGUGGUGGCAGAAAGCAAUGGGUCUAUCCCAGGAAAGUCCGCCCACCUCAAAAAGGCUACUCCUUCAUUGGAGACGGAGAAAUCCGUAGCUCUGGCGGAAGAAACGACACGUCCUAUAGAAUGGAAUGAUAAUGGCGAAGUGUGUUGCGAGACACACGAGUUAAUCCUUGGACGUCUCUAUAGGGAUCGAUGGAACGGCGAAUCUUACGAAAGACCGCGAUCUUUCGGAAGUCCUAAAAGCUUGCUUUUAUGACUUAGCCGGUGCAAGUUCAUUUGAACGCUUAGUAGAAUGCUUUCGGCGGUCAUCGACAAUAGCCAGGUGCUGUUGUUUUGGGCCCAACAAAAGGCGGCUUAUGCCACCCUACC